ACGCUCGACACCUACGGGAGGCAGCAGUGGGGAAUAUUGCACAAUGGGGGAAACCCCGAUGCAGCGACGCCGCGUGGAGGAAGAAGGUCUUCGGAUUGUAAACUCCUGUUGUUGGGGAAAAAGAGGAUGGUACCCAACAAGGAAGUGACGGCUAACUACGUGCCAACAGCCGCGGUAAUCUGAGCGGGCUGGCAAGGC
Molecule: ribosomal RNA, 198 nt
Filed under: uncultured bacterium
Lineage: Bacteria
Description: partial 16S ribosomal RNA
Rfam family: Bacterial small subunit ribosomal RNA
Source: RNAcentral